CUACGGUGGGCAGCAGUGGGGAAUAUUGGACAAUGGGCGAAAGCCUGAUCCAGCCAUGCCGCGUGUGUGAAGAAGGCCUUCGGGUUGUAAAGCACUUUCAGUGGGGAAGAAAGCCUUGGGGCUAAUACCCUCGAGGAAGGACAUCACCCACAGAAGAAGCACCGGCUAACUCCGUGCCAGCAGCCGCGGUAAUACGGAGGGUGCGAGCGUUAAUCGGAAUUACUGGGCGUAAAGCGCGCGUAGGCGGUCUGAUAAGCCGGUUGUGAAAGCCCCGGGCUCAACCUGGGAACGGCAUCCGGAACUGUCAGGCUAGAGUGCAGGAGAGGAAGGUAGAAUUCCCGGUGUAGCGGUGAAAUGCGUAGAGAUCGAGAGGAAUACCAGUGGCGAAGGCGGCCUUCUGGACUGACACUGACGCUGAGGUGCGAAAGCGUGGGUAGCAAACAGGAUUAGAUACCCCGGUAGUC
This 464-nucleotide ribosomal RNA is filed under the name Vreelandella stevensii. Its description in RNAcentral is "partial 16S ribosomal RNA". It matches the Rfam family "Bacterial small subunit ribosomal RNA", at positions 339 to 795 of the family's 1533-position model. The record is from RNAcentral. Lineage: Bacteria; Pseudomonadati; Pseudomonadota; Gammaproteobacteria; Oceanospirillales; Halomonadaceae.